This 467-nucleotide long non-coding RNA is filed under the name Helianthus annuus (common sunflower). Its description in RNAcentral is "sRNA HanXRQr2_Chr13g0594961". Lineage: Eukaryota; Viridiplantae; Streptophyta; Magnoliopsida; Asterales; Asteraceae. The record is from RNAcentral.
GUUUCUUUCCAUCUCCAUCAGAGAAUAAGCAAUAUUUCCUGCAAAUCAUGGUUUUCUAAAGCUCUAAUUUGCAUACUGAUCAUGGGUUUCUAAACAUAUUAGAAGUCUUUGCUACUCAUGAUUAUUCCUAGAUCAUCAAAUCGGUUGUGUUUGUGGGAAAUUGGAAGCUAAUCAACAUCUCUAUCUCUAACUUCCCCGUCAACGCUUCAUCACACAAUUGCCUCAUUUAUCGUUGAUCUAGGUCUAGCUGUCGUCUUCUCUACCUACCUUUCCUGAUUCUAACUUAACAACUCUAAUGGAAGAGUUGAUGGCAGCUGACAAGUACACCCAUUUGGCAGCUAUUCGAUUUGUUUCUUUAAAAUGGUAACAGGAGUGGAUCUUGGACGCAGGUGUCGUAACUAGAAGUUUAGAUGUCAUCCACUUUUGUUGGUUUGCAACCUAGUCGAAGGUUGUGUUUUAAAAACUUG